This 377-nucleotide long non-coding RNA is filed under the name Mustela putorius furo (domestic ferret). RNAcentral describes it as "lncRNA (ENSMPUG00000030329.1)". Lineage: Eukaryota; Metazoa; Chordata; Mammalia; Carnivora; Mustelidae. The record is from RNAcentral.
UCAUUUUAUUUUUUUAAACCAACAGCUAUCUUCAUAAUUCAUAUAUAAGCAUGGUGUGAAAGAUUGCUGAUGAUCCUGAGAAGGAGCAGAGCCAUGUUUCCUAGUUCCAGCUUAUGCCCCUGAUAUGACAACUGAAAAUAAAAGAACGACCCGCAGACGAGGGAGAAAGAGAGCACAUGAGCAGAGGGAGGAGCAGAAGGAUGGAGAGAAGGAAAGAAGCAGACUCCCUGACUCCCAGAUGACCACAGCCCCAUGGAGAGCUCAAUCCCAUGAUCUGAGAUCAUGAACCCUGCAGAAACUAAAGGAUGGUCACCCACCCAACCCACUGAACUACCCAGGCAUCCCGAUUUAUUUUCUAUACAGGACAACUACAGAAA